UACGUAGGUGGCAAGCGUUGUCCGGAUUUACUGGGCGUAAAGAGCGCGCAGGCGGUCGUUCAAGUCGAGUGUGAAAGCCCCCGGCUCAACUGGGGAGGGUCACUCGAUACUGAUCGACUCGAAGGCAGAAGAGGGAAGCGGAAUUCCCGGUGUAGUGGUGAAAUGCGUAGAUAUCGGGAGGAACACCAGUGGCGAAGGCGGCUUUCUGGUCUGCUCUUGACGCUGAGGCGCGAAAGCUAGGGUAGCGAACGGG
This 253-nucleotide ribosomal RNA is filed under the name uncultured bacterium. Its description in RNAcentral is "partial 16S ribosomal RNA". It matches the Rfam family "Bacterial small subunit ribosomal RNA", at positions 524 to 776 of the family's 1533-position model. The record is from RNAcentral.